RNAcentral lists this ribosomal RNA (469 nucleotides) under uncultured bacterium. RNAcentral describes it as "partial 16S ribosomal RNA". It matches the Rfam family "Bacterial small subunit ribosomal RNA", at positions 46 to 523 of the family's 1533-position model. The record is from RNAcentral.
GCAUAACACAUGCAAGUCGAGCGAGGGCUCUUCUCCCGCAAGGGAGGGGAGUUCCUAGCGGCGAACGGGUGAGUAACACGUGAGCAACCUGUCCCGUAGCGGGGGAUAACACCGGGAAACCGGUGCUAAUACCGCAUGUCAUCGCCGGUCGCAUGGCCGGUGAGAAAAGCAGCAAUGCACUGCGGGGUGGGCUCGGGGCCUAUCAGCUAGUAGGUGGGGUAACGGCCUACCUCGGCUUUGACGGGUAGCUGGUCUGAGAGGACGGCCAGCCACACGGGGACUGAGACACGGGCCCGACUCCUACGGGGGGCAGCAGUGAGGAAUCUUCCGCAAUGGGCGAAAGCCUGACGGAGCGACGCCGCGUGUGGGAUGAAGUCUCUCGGGAUGUAAACCACUGUUCUAGAGGGAAGAGAACGGACGGUACCUCUAGAGAAAGCCCCGGCUAACUACGUGCCAGCCGCCGCCGUAA